AUUGAACGCUGGCGGCAGGCCUAACACAUGCAAGUCGAACGGUAACAGGAAGAAUCUUGCUUCUUUGCUGACGAGUGGCGGACGGGUGAGUAAUGUCUGGGAAACUGCCUGAUGGAGGGGGAUAACUACUGGAAACGGUAGCUAAUACCGCAUAACGUCGCAAGACCAAAAAGGGGGACCUUCGGGCCUCUUGCCAUCGGAUGUGCCCAGGUGGGAUUAGCUAGUAGGUGGGGUAACGGCUCACCUAGGCGACGAUCCCUAGCUGGUCUGAGAGGAUGAACCGCCAGCCUGGAAGUGAGGCAGGGCCCCGACUCCUACGGGGGGACGCAGUGGGGAAUAUUGCACGAUGGGGGAAAGGCUGAUGCAGCCAAGUCGGGGGUAUGAAGAAGGCCCUCGGGUUGGUAAGGAAUUUAAGCCGGGAGGAAGGGAGUAAAGUUAAUACCUUUGCUCAUUGACGUUACCCGCAGAAGAAGCACCGGCUAACUCCGUG
Molecule: ribosomal RNA, 490 nt
Filed under: uncultured bacterium
Lineage: Bacteria
Description: partial 16S ribosomal RNA
Rfam family: Bacterial small subunit ribosomal RNA
Source: RNAcentral